UUCUCGGGCCUGUGCAAUGGGGGCCUGUGAAUCGUGUCAGGACUGAGAGGUAGCAGCACUAAGUGGUAACCUUCAUGUGCCACGGGGAACCCGGGGGCUG
RNAcentral lists this signal recognition particle RNA (100 nucleotides) under Veillonella parvula. Its description in RNAcentral is "signal recognition particle sRNA small type". It matches the Rfam family "Bacterial small signal recognition particle RNA". Rfam says of the family: The signal recognition particle (SRP) is a universally conserved ribonucleoprotein involved in the co-translational targeting of proteins to membranes. The record is from RNAcentral. Lineage: Bacteria; Bacillati; Bacillota; Negativicutes; Veillonellales; Veillonellaceae.